Selaginella moellendorffii is the source of this 225-nucleotide long non-coding RNA. RefSeq lists it as uncharacterized. Lineage: Eukaryota; Viridiplantae; Streptophyta; Lycopodiopsida; Selaginellales; Selaginellaceae. The transcript is spliced from 4 exons. The record is from RefSeq and is a predicted model, not a curated record.
CAACUGGAAUGGUCCAGUGCUCCGCCUUUACCGGUUUCGUGCGCGGGGCAUAGCUUGAUUGUAUCCGACAAGACACUCAUCGCUCUCGUUGGGAUCCCAUCAGAUGUGAAGUUGCGUGUUUAUAAAAUGGACACCACCCUCGCAACUGGCUGGUCACUUUUAGCCACGUCAGGAGAAGCUCCGGUUGCAACACGCGGUCACUCUGCUAGCAUGAUUGAUAACAAA